This 502-nucleotide long non-coding RNA is filed under the name Hordeum vulgare. RNAcentral describes it as "long non-coding RNA (HVUL_LNC014460)". The record is from RNAcentral. Lineage: Eukaryota; Viridiplantae; Streptophyta; Magnoliopsida; Poales; Poaceae.
UAGCUAGCUUUGAACUUUUAGUUUGCAUGCAUGCUCUACCUCUACACACACCACUUUUAGAUUGAAUCUGGUCUCCUAGCUAGCCAGGACCUAACAUGCACCUACUCGCGCACAUAUAUACGGCAGGUGCGGAUGAGAUUAGAGACAUGUGCCAAAUCUUCGUGUGGUUGUCAAGGAUCGGCGAUCGAUAAGGGAUUGUGUGGUUGUCAAGAUUCACCACCUGAAUUUUCACAAAAUAAGUCAUGUUACACUACUAAGUUAGCUGCUAGCUAGCUAGCUGUCCCACUUUCUUGCAGUCCGUAAUGCAUGUAGACGUGUAGCUACGCCCGACGGUCGAUAUGGGUGCAAGGAUCAAAUCGGGAGGUUAUCUGGCCGGCCUACUUAAGCUGGAAUCAUCCGCUAAUGCUUAAAAAGGUGACUAUUUUCCAUACUAAUUCAAAAGGGAAAUGUAUAUUUUACGUUUGUUUCCAAGACAAAAUUAAUGGCACGAAGUCAUCUCAUG